AAAGUACCAGGAGCUGCUUAAUACAGUGCCAGAAUUUGUGUGAAGUUGAAUAAUCCAAGGAAUUUGUCUUUUAGACUAAGCUUAAGAAAACCAGAGCUUUAUGCUUAGAUCUAAUGUUACUGUUUCACAAAUACGGAGUUUCCUGUAUGGAUAGUUAUAUACACAUGAACACUGAUGCAUGCAAUCCAUCUACACUUAUGUAUGCCAUUAUUUUAUAUGGAAGAUUAUGCUGGAAAACAGAAGUUACAACCAUUUUCUUUCACAAUUUUUGAGCUUCUGUCAGUAUCAGAUUACACUAUAUUUUGUGUGGGUGUAGAAAUAUAAAUGACCUGAAACACUGUGCAGUAUCAGAAUUGAGAAAUGUAUGGAACCAUUGAUAAUAGAGUAAUUUUUCAUCUUUGUGCUGUAUUUUCUAGAUGUUUUCAUUAACUGAGCAGCAUUAUUAUUAGCAUCAGUUUAGUUAUCCAGGAAAGAUUUGAUGAUGCCUCAGUAAGAUACUACGUUGAGCUAUUUAAGGAUGUCAAACUAGAAUCCUCCACAAGCACAGAAUUUAAUUGACCUAAGAGUGUGAAUUUUAAAACUACCAUUCAAGAUGCUUUUAUUUUGGCUCAAUGUAAAUAAUGGCGUUCCUCAAUUUUUCUUCUUUUUUUUUUUCCUUCCUUUUUCCUCUGAACACUCCACAUCCACUCUAAGAGUGUUAUACAAAUGCCAAGGGAGAGAAUGGUGUAGGAGAAUUUGCAGAUGUAAAGGAAAUACCCAAUGAUGAUGAACAUCUUUUAGAUUUUAACAUGGUUUCUUCUGUUUAUGAAGCAAGAUGUGCAGAUGAUAUAAACGCUGAAGCAAAACCAAAUGGCUUCAGGAAGAAGAUCUACUCCAGUGAUAGCUCCAGCUCUGAAGACACAGCUUCAGAAGGUGGCAGUGAAUGGGCAGAUCCGUGUGAGGAGGAGCUUUUUUCUCGAACUCAACUAUAAAAACUGCAGAGUAGGACGGAUGAUUUAAAAGUAACGUGAGGUGGAAAACUAUCCUUCUUGAGGGUCUGUAGCUCUAAAACAACAACUUGAGUUUCCUCUUCAGUUAAUGGAUUCAGAUGUGUAUUUAUCUUUCUCUUCUUGCUUAUUUUAUAGAUGAGGACACAGCUGUCCUGUUGAAGAUUUUUUUCACCCCCAAACUGUUAAAUUCUUGGCUAUUUGAACUAGACUAGAUUGUGUUGUUAAAUCAAGAAUGGAUGUGCAUGUGCUUGUCUUAGUAGUACCACUGCUUUUUUGCAUCUUAAUUGCAGUUAUUUUCAUUCGUAACUGUAGCCCUACCACUACUGCUAUCUUCUUAGCAUCGCAGUGUCUACAAGUACUUCUGCUAUUCAGAGACUUUAGCUUUUGGCACAUUAGGCUUUGUUCUUUAAGAACCGGGAGAUAAAUACUUAACACUGUAAUCUAUCAGUGCCUUUCUGAAUGCAGGAGAAAAGCAUGAAUGACUUGUCCAGUCUUCAUUCAGUAAAUCUCAUAACUUUGAAGUAGGAACAACAGGGUUGUGCUUUAGAGACUUACAGAAACUGUGUUUUCUAUCCUAUGAUUCCCUUUCUCCCCCCUUCCCCCCCGCAAACCAACGCUGAGGUUACCAUGGUUUGUAUUUUUGCUAACUGGAGUAGCCAAGGAUUUUUUGUAGGUAUGGAGGCAAUGUGGUUUUUUCUUUUUUCUUUUUUUUUUUUUUGUUCCUUUUUAGCAACUUGCCAACAUAGGGCAGUUUAAAAAGAAGUAACACCAAAAAUAAUAAACCACUGGGGUGAUGUGUGGAUUGUUUUGAAUUUUGUAACAAGUAAUGAGGAUGUUGUCUUGUUGCAAAUGAUGGCAUUCUUGUAACCUGCAAAAGCAUUCAAGACUGAAUUUGAGCCUGAAUGACUGAAACUAUCGAAAAUGCUCAGUGUGUUCAGUGUUUUAAAUGCAAAGGGUCAGUGCUUCACUUGAGAGAAAUCCUGUGGCUGCUGCAGUUAGCUGCUGUUGUGGCUGUAAUUUAGUAAAUCUCGUAGUUCAUUUUGUGUUUCUGAGAGAAUGUGUGGGGCAAGUUACGUGUGUGGUGGGUGGGGGUAGGGAAAGCGAUGAUUUACAACAUACAUGUGUGAUUGCAGUAGUGACUGUUGCUUUAUGUGACUUGCUUUUCAAUUUUAUUUUGUUAACUUAGAAAGUCAAUACAUUGUCAAGUUGCAUCUGUACAAAACUAUCAACUCCUUGUGCUUUUAACACAUUAUGCAAAAUGUAUAAGCCAGGAGGAGCAAUAUUUGCAAAACUAAACAUUCUUAGUUUUCACCAACUCGUAGUUAAAAACCAACAACGAAGAACUAAUUAUACAGUAGCAGCAUGUCUAUAACAUCAGAAAGUGCAGAAAGUCCAAUAUUGACUUGAAAAGCUUAACCAUUAAUUUUGACAGGCAAUAAAACUCAUGAGAACUAUAGCUGUUUGAAACGUGAGCUGAACUGGCUUUGAAAUAUGUUCUGUGCUAGAAAGGUUUUCUGAAUAACUGGGUUUGGUUGCCUUUAUUAAAUUGAUAGCAUAUGAAUUGAAACGCGUGGUUAAAAAACCAUGCCAUACUUUGUGCAACAUUUUAGUUGAGUUCCUUACCUAAUAUUGGCUCGGUUUGUCCUUACCCUGGGACUUUGUUUUGGUCCUCCUAUUGAGCUAUGUUUUAGGGUUUGUAUUUAUACAACAAAUCUUUUGACACUUUACAGUUUCUUUUCUUAAUUUAUUUGCAGACUUUGGAGAGAUUUUUAUAUAUUUUACUUUCUUCUGGAGCUUCCUUGAGAGCUUGUUUAGCACCUGCACUGAGAACUAGUUAACUGUAACAUGAAAGUAAACAAGAACUUACACGUAAAUUCUUCAAAUCACUACAGUGAAGAAUGGAAUAGAACUUCAUUCAAGAACAAGAAAUGACCAAAUGGACAUAUUUCAAACACAAACUUCAGCUCAGUUAAUUUUGGCUAGAGCUGCUUCUUUGGUAAGAAAGGGCUCAAAAAUCACAAAGGUGUUGCUUAUAGUUACAUUGUGGUAUGUAAUAAUUCCAGCACCUUUGGGGAAAAUAAAAUCGUAUUUUGAGCUUGGGCAAUAACAAAUUGUCUUUACUUGUUUUCAUAGUUUACUGGCUAAAGCUCUAAAGCUUUCAGUGAGAAGUGAAGUGUGGUUUUUAGUUUUUCUGUAUGGAUAGAAACACAAACAAAACAACAACAAAAAGCAUUAAAGGUUGGCAUACGCUGAACCGCACUGUGGUAUGAAGCGCAUUGCAUAUCCAUAGCACUGAAGUAUCAGUUUUCCAUUCCUGGGCUGAAAUUUGUUUCUACUUUUUGCUUCAAGUGGUUGUAUUGUUCUGAUUUCACGUACACCAGAGUAACUGAUUUUGUUUUCUUGUGGAGUUACUUAACACCAAAUAAAAAUAUAAAAGGACAA
Non-coding RNA from Meleagris gallopavo (turkey), 3431 nucleotides. The record is from RefSeq and is a predicted model, not a curated record. Lineage: Eukaryota; Metazoa; Chordata; Aves; Galliformes; Phasianidae.